This is a transfer RNA of Taphrina deformans PYCC 5710, 72 nucleotides long. It matches the Rfam family "tRNA". Rfam says of the family: Transfer RNA (tRNA) molecules are approximately 80 nucleotides in length. Their secondary structure includes four short double-helical elements and three loops (D, anti-codon, and T loops). NCBI's taxonomy places the organism in Eukaryota, Fungi, Ascomycota, Taphrinomycetes, Taphrinales, Taphrinaceae. The record is from Rfam.
GUCUUCGUAGCUCAGUGGUAGAGCAUCAGAUUGCAAAUCUGGUUGUCCCGUGUUCGAUCCACGGCGAGGACU